AAAUAAAGUGAAUUCCAGGAUUUUUUAUUUAUUUUUUGAUAGACGACGGCAGAUUGAAUUGAUAAACACCUACAAAUAGGGGGCACACCCUAUGUAUACUGACAAUUUACAAACAAAACCCAACUAGGCUGCAUGACCUACAAUAGGGAGGCUAGUCUCCGUUAAGGACAUCCAAAAUUCCAAACCCGUUGAGACCACUCUAAUACUUCAGACUUUGGUCAGACGUCUCCUCCACCUGGACAUCCAAAAUUCCAAAACCCGUUGAGACCACUCUAAUAGUUCAGACUUUGGUCGGACAUCUCCUCCACCUGAAAAGUCCUAGGAUUUCCUUGCCCCAGAUACACCAAAAUAGACAAAUCA
Molecule: long non-coding RNA, 360 nt
Filed under: Vitis vinifera (wine grape)
Lineage: Eukaryota; Viridiplantae; Streptophyta; Magnoliopsida; Vitales; Vitaceae
Description: long non-coding RNA (VVIN_LNC000621)
Source: RNAcentral